AUUUGUCACGUAAUCACUUGAUAGAAUGGCAUUUAAGCAUGUCACUGCCAUGGAAGAUGAACAACAAAGGCAUAGCCACAUCUAUGUUUCUAUAAAUAUUAUACUAGAUCCAAUUAUCCAAGUACCUAAUGGAUAAAAUGUCUAGCCAAUUAAAUCGAGUACUGUAUUAUAAUUUAUAUGAACAAAGGAAAAGCUAAAUCAUAAUCCUUUUAAACUCUAACUCACUUUCAUAUAUCAAGGACAUUUAAACAUAUUGCUUUUGUCCAAAACUUCUUAAAUACCCCAUUGUCAAAUAAAAUUAAAAUUUCUUCAAACAAUUUAAUAUUAAAAAAGAAU
This 336-nucleotide unclassified non-coding RNA is filed under the name Hevea brasiliensis (rubber tree). The record is from RNAcentral. Lineage: Eukaryota; Viridiplantae; Streptophyta; Magnoliopsida; Malpighiales; Euphorbiaceae.